GAUGAACGCUGGCGGCAGGCUUAACACAUGCAAGUCGAGCGCCCCGCAAGGGGAGCGGCAGACGGGUGAGUAACGCGUGGGAAUCUACCCAUCUCUACGGAAUAACGCAUGGAAACGUGUGCUAAUACCGUAUACGUCCUUCGGGAGAAAGAUUUAUCGGAGAUGGAUGAGCCCGCGUUGGAUUAGCUAGUUGGUGGGGUAAAGGCCUACCAAGGCGACGAUCCAUAGCUGGUCUGAGAGGAUGAUCAGCCACACUGGGACUGAGACACGGCCCAGACUCCUACGGGAGGCAGCAGUGGGGAAUAUUGGACAAUGGGCGCAAGCCUGAUCCAGCCAUGCCGCGUGAGUGAUGAAGGCCCUAGGGUUGUAAAGCUCUUUCACCGGUGAAGAUAAUGACGGUAACCGGAGAAGAAGCCCCGGCUAACUUCGUGCCAGCAGCCGCAGUAA
Molecule: ribosomal RNA, 447 nt
Filed under: uncultured bacterium
Lineage: Bacteria
Description: partial 16S ribosomal RNA
Rfam family: Bacterial small subunit ribosomal RNA
Source: RNAcentral